GUAGGGCAGUGCUCAACUACCGGUGAUUAAUCACUGAGGAAAGUCCACACACCCCUCAUUUAUUGAGGAAGUGGAGACUUACAAAAGUAAGGUCCUGAAAAGGGCGGCAACCACUCAGAAACGAGACCUCCUGAAAAGCAGGAUGACGGAUGCGAAGGCUCUUGCAAAAGAGCUGAGUUAACCUCCAGACAUUUUUUCAGGGAAGGAUGAAACGGUGAGCCCUCUCCGGUGCAACUCGAAUGAGGCUUAGUUGAAUGUUUGAGAAGGUCUGCCUAUUCUUUGUGAGUAGAGACCUACAGAAAGUGGCUUACAGCUGCUCUAC
RNAcentral lists this RNase P RNA (322 nucleotides) under Candidatus Woesearchaeota archaeon. RNAcentral's name for it is "RNase P RNA component". It matches the Rfam family "Archaeal RNase P". Rfam says of the family: Ribonuclease P (RNase P) is a ubiquitous endoribonuclease, found in archaea, bacteria and eukarya as well as chloroplasts and mitochondria. Its best characterised activity is the generation of mature 5'-ends of tRNAs by cleaving the 5'-leader elements of precursor-tRNAs. Cellular RNase Ps are ribonucleoproteins. Lineage: Archaea; Nanobdellati; Candidatus Woesearchaeota. The record is from RNAcentral.